Molecule: ribosomal RNA, 426 nt
Filed under: uncultured prokaryote
Description: bacterial SSU rRNA
Rfam family: Bacterial small subunit ribosomal RNA
Source: RNAcentral
UGGGGAAUUUUCCGUAAUGGGCGAAAGCCUGACGGAGCAAUACCGCGUGAGGGAGGAAGGCUUUUGGGUUGUAAACCUCUUUUCUUAGGGAAGAAGUUCUGACGGUACCUAAGGAAUCAGCAUCGGCUAACUCCGUGCCAGCAGCCGCGGUAAUACGGAGGGUGCAAGCGUUGUCCGGAUUUAUUGGGUUUAAAGGGUGCGUAGGCGGGUAUUUAAGUCAGUAGUGAAAUCCCUGAGCUCAACUGAGGAAUUGCCAUUGAUACUGGAUAUCUUGAUUACCGUAUAGGUAGGCGGAAUUUAUGGUGUAGCGGUGAAAUGCAUAGAUACCAUAAAGAACACCGAUAGCGAAGGCAGCUUACUGGACGUGUAAUGACGCUGAUGCACGAAAGCGUGGGUAGCGAACGGGAUUAGAUACCCCUGUAGUCC